GGAAGGAUCAUUAACACGUUUCCAAACGUUUUCGAUCAUUCUUAUUUUCCGUGCACAAACAAAACCGGCCUCCUGACUUUUCCUCUCAGUUUAUUCUGUCUGUGAUCGUGCCAGGCGUCUUUAGGGUUCAUAGGAGUCUUUGUUCUGGAAAAUUGGGAGACUUUGCUGUCUUCCUUUCUAGUACGAACAUAUGACACCUCCUUUAGGCGUUGCCAAACAACCCAAACCUUAAAUCUAAUUGCUCUGAACUCUAGUUGUGGUGAUGAUGUCUUCGGAUGUUAUCACCCAACGACCAAAAACAAACAACAACUCUUAACAACGGAUAUCUUGGUUCUCGCAACGAUGAAGAACGCAGCGAAAUGCGAUACGUAAUGCGAAUUGCAGAAUUCCGUGAAUCAUCAAGUUUUUGAACGCAAAUUGCGCUCUCAUUUACCUGAGAGCACGCCUCUUUGAGUGUCGGUUUAAUUUCCUUCUGGCAGCGUGCUGUCUUUGUAAGGGCAUUUUUGAGCAUUUCUUUUCUUUCUUUUCAUUUAGAGAGCAAAGUUGCUUUAAGCACUUGGGAGAUUCUGUCUCCUUCCAGUUUGCACCGCUGAACAUGCGCUAAAAAGUGCUUGUUUGAGGUGGCGUGGAUAAUUUCACUUCUUCAAUGAAGUGGUCCAAUACGUCAUCAUCAUCUAGCAAUAGGAGAUGAUUCUGCGAAAUAGUCGACUCUUUACUGAUGUUGACAAAUUUCAAUGAGCUUCUACUUGCACUUUGUAUGUUUUUAGCACCGCUUACAAACCACCAAACAGACCUCAAAUGAAGCGAGAGGACCCGGUGAAUUUAAGCAUAUUAUUAACCGGAGGAAAAGAAACUAACAAGGAUUCCCCUAGUAACGGCGAGUGAAGCGGGAAGAGCUCAACUUGAAAAUCGGUAGGGCAUGCGCCUGUCCGAAUUGUAGUCUAGAGACGCUACCGCGAGUUCGGGAUUCGGGUCAAAUUUCCUUGGAAAAGGAAGCCAAAGAGGGUGAGAGCCCCGUCUGUGACUCGUUAUCCUGUACGUGUCGGUUCGUUCUUCGAGUCGAGUUGCCUGGGAUCGCAGCUCUAAAUGGGUGGUAAAUUUCAUCUAAAGCUAAAUAUGGGCGAGAGACCGAUAGCGAACAAGUACCGUGAGGGAAAGAUGAAAAGAACUUUGAAAAGAGAGUUAAAAGUACUUGAAAUUGUUAAGAGGGAAGCACUGGAAGCCAUUCGGGAAGUGUCUCUAUAGACUUAUGUCUUGUUCGAGGCGCUUUUGGGGUCAGCAUCAAUUUCUGGCGCGGGAGAAGGCUUUACGGCUCUACCAGCUGUCGGGGAUUGAGGACUACAGCGUUCAUUCGGUUUUGGUGCUUUGCAGUUGUGUGCCUUUUGUCGUAGAACAAAGUUCUGCGGUUUUUGGUUGCGUUUCUUUCAUUGUACUUUACCUGUUCGCUCGUGAUGCUGACGAUACGGUUUUCAUUGACCCGUCUUGAAACACGGACCAAGGAGUCUAACAUAUAUGCGAGUAUUUGGGUGGUUAAAACCCUGGUGCGCAAUGAAAGUAAUUUCUGGUAGGAACCUCGUUUAAUCGCGUGGUGCACUAUCGACCGAUCACGUAAGUGAUCUUGAGUAAGAGCAUAUCUGUUGGGACCCGAAAGAUGGUGAUCUAUGCCUGAACAGGGUGAAGCCAGGGGAAACUCUGGUGGAGGCUCGUAGCGAUACUGACGUGCAAAUCGUUCGUCUGAUUUGGGUAUAGGGGCGAAAGACUAAUCGAACCAUCUAGUAGCUGGUUCCCUC
RNAcentral lists this unclassified non-coding RNA (1790 nucleotides) under uncultured fungus. RNAcentral describes it as "sequence contains 18S rRNA gene, ITS1, 5.8S rRNA gene, ITS2, 28S rRNA gene". The stretch from base 790 to 1790 matches the Rfam family "Eukaryotic large subunit ribosomal RNA", at positions 1 to 961 of the family's 3401-position model. The record is from RNAcentral. Lineage: Eukaryota; Fungi.